Molecule: ribosomal RNA, 492 nt
Filed under: Escherichia coli
Lineage: Bacteria; Pseudomonadati; Pseudomonadota; Gammaproteobacteria; Enterobacterales; Enterobacteriaceae
Description: partial 23S ribosomal RNA
Rfam family: Bacterial large subunit ribosomal RNA
Source: RNAcentral
UCCCGACUUACCAACCCGAUGCAAACUGCGAAUACCGGAGAAUGUUAUCACGGGAGACACACGGCGGGUGCUAACGUCCGUCGUGAAGAGGGAAACAACCCAGACCGCCAGCUAAGGUCCCAAAGUCAUGGUUAAGUGGGAAACGAUGUGGGAAGGCCCAGACAGCCAGGAUGUUGGCUUAGAAGCAGCCAUCAUUUAAAGAAAGCGUAAUAGCUCACUGGUCGAGUCGGCCUGCGCGGAAGAUGUAACGGGGCUAAACCAUGCACCGAAGCUGCGGCAGCGACGCUUAUGCGUUGUUGGGUAGGGGAGCGUUCUGUAAGCCUGUGAAGGUGUGCUGUGAGGCAUGCUGGAGGUAUCAGAAGUGCGAAUGCUGACAUAAGUAACGAUAAAGCGGGUGAAAAGCCCGCUCGCCGGAAGACCAAGGGUUCCUGUCCAACGUUAAUCGGGGCAGGGUGAGUCGACCCCUAAGGCGAGGCCGAAAGGCGUAGUCGA